GUUGUAGAUGAGCAUGAGAGUGUGGAGCAGA
Molecule: small RNA, 31 nt
Filed under: Pongo abelii (Sumatran orangutan)
Lineage: Eukaryota; Metazoa; Chordata; Mammalia; Primates; Hominidae
Description: processed transcript
Source: RNAcentral